Molecule: ribosomal RNA, 443 nt
Filed under: uncultured bacterium
Lineage: Bacteria
Description: partial 16S ribosomal RNA
Rfam family: Bacterial small subunit ribosomal RNA
Source: RNAcentral
CCUACGGGCGGCUGCAGUGGGGAAUAUUGCACAAUGGGGGAAACCCUGAUGCAGCAACGCCGCGUGAGUGAAGAAGGAUUUCGGUAUGUAAAGCUCUAUCAGCAGGGAAGAAGAAAGUGACGGUACCUUAGGAAUAAGCCUCGGCCAACUACGUGCCAGCAGCCGUGGUAAUACGUAGGAGGCAGGCGUUAUCCGGAAGGAAUGGGCGUAAAGGGUGCGUAGGUGGUUUGGCAAGUGAGUAGAGCAACUCCGGGGCUCAACUACGGAACUACUACGAACACUGGUGGACUUGAGUGCAGGGAGGGCAAGCGGAAUUCCUAGUGUAGCGGUGGAAUGCGUAGAUAUUAGGAGGAACACCAGUGGCGAAGGCGGAAUGCUAGACUGUAACUGACGCUGAGGCACGAAGGCGUGGGUAGCAAACAGGAUUAGAUACCCGUGUAGUC